AUGAGGCGCGCCUAGGGUUCCGCUGCAGACGCAGGUCUGGUCCGAGAGGUGCAGGCGACCGGCAACGGUGCUGGUCGCUCCACGGCGGGACAAAAGCCCGGGAGAC
RNAcentral lists this small RNA (106 nucleotides) under Mycobacterium sp. RNAcentral describes it as "Guanidine-I sequence". It matches the Rfam family "Guanidine-I riboswitch aptamer". Rfam says of the family: This family represents a conserved RNA structure found upstream of the ykkC and yxkD genes in Bacillus subtilis and related genes in other bacteria. The function of this family is unclear although it has been suggested that it may function to switch on efflux pumps and detoxification systems in response to harmful environmental molecules. Lineage: Bacteria; Bacillati; Actinomycetota; Actinomycetes; Mycobacteriales; Mycobacteriaceae. The record is from RNAcentral.